RNAcentral lists this ribosomal RNA (1554 nucleotides) under Escherichia coli. RNAcentral describes it as "bacterial SSU rRNA". It matches the Rfam family "Bacterial small subunit ribosomal RNA". Lineage: Bacteria; Pseudomonadati; Pseudomonadota; Gammaproteobacteria; Enterobacterales; Enterobacteriaceae. The record is from RNAcentral.
AAAUUGAAGAGUUUGAUCAUGGCUCAGAUUGAACGCUGGCGGCAGGCCUAACACAUGCAAGUCGAACGGUAACAGGAAACAGCUUGCUGUUUCGCUGACGAGUGGCGGACGGGUGAGUAAUGUCUGGGAAACUGCCUGAUGGAGGGGGAUAACUACUGGAAACGGUAGCUAAUACCGCAUAACGUCGCAAGACCAAAGAGGGGGACCUUCGGGCCUCUUGCCAUCGGAUGUGCCCAGAUGGGAUUAGCUUGUUGGUGGGGUAACGGCUCACCAAGGCGACGAUCCCUAGCUGGUCUGAGAGGAUGACCAGCCACACUGGAACUGAGACACGGUCCAGACUCCUACGGGAGGCAGCAGUGGGGAAUAUUGCACAAUGGGCGCAAGCCUGAUGCAGCCAUGCCGCGUGUAUGAAGAAGGCCUUCGGGUUGUAAAGUACUUUCAGCGGGGAGGAAGGGAGUAAAGUUAAUACCUUUGCUUAUUGACGUUACCCGCAGAAGAAGCACCGGCUAACUCCGUGCCAGCAGCCGCGGUAAUACGGAGGGUGCAAGCGUUAAUCGGAAUUACUGGGCGUAAAGCGCACGCAGGCGGUUUGUUAAGUCAGAUGUGAAAUCCCCGGGCUCAACCUGGGAACUGCAUCUGAUACUGGCAAGCUUGAGUCUCGUAGAGGGGGGUAGAAUUCCAGGUGUAGCGGUGAAAUGCGUAGAGAUCUGGAGGAAUACCGGUGGCGAAGGCGGCCCCCUGGACGAAGACUGACGCUCAGGUGCGAAAGCGUGGGGAGCAAACAGGAUUAGAUACCCUGGUAGUCCACGCCGUAAACGAUGUCGACUUGGAGGUUGUGCCCUUGAGGCGUGGCUUCCGGAGCUAACGCGUUAAGUCGACCGCCUGGGGAGUACGGCCGCAAGGUUAAAACUCAAAUGAAUUGACGGGGGCCCGCACAAGCGGUGGAGCAUGUGGUUUAAUUCGAUGCAACGCGAAGAACCUUACCUGGUCUUGACAUCCACAGAACUUUCCAGAGAUGGAUUGGUGCCUUCGGGAACUGUGAGACAGGUGCUGCAUGGCUGUCGUCAGCUCGUGUUGUGAAAUGUUGGGUUAAGUCCCGCAACGAGCGCAACCCUUAUCCUUUGUUGCCAGCGGUCCGGCCGGGAACUCAAAGGAGACUGCCAGUGAUAAACUGGAGGAAGGUGGGGAUGACGUCAAGUCAUCAUGGCCCUUACGACCAGGGCUACACACGUGCUACAAUGGCGCAUACAAAGAGAAGCGACCUCGCGAGAGCAAGCGGACCUCAUAAAGUGCGUCGUAGUCCGGAUUGGAGUCUGCAACUCGACUCCAUGAAGUCGGAAUCGCUAGUAAUCGUGGAUCAGAAUGCCACGGUGAAUACGUUCCCGGGCCUUGUACACACCGCCCGUCACACCAUGGGAGUGGGUUGCAAAAGAAGUAGGUAGCUUAACCUUCGGGAGGGCGCUUACCACUUUGUGAUUCAUGACUGGGGUGAAGUCGUAACAAGGUAACCGUAGGGGAACCUGCGGUUGGAUCACCUCCUUACCUUAAAGAAGC